GUGAGUAAUACAUGGGUAACGUACCUCUAACUCUGGAACAACCACUGGAAACGGUGGCUAAUACCUGAUAGUUUCGAUCUUCCACAUGAAAGAUUGAAUAAAAGUAGGGAUCUCUUCGGAGACCUUCUGGUUAGAGAGCGGCUCAUGCGCUAUCAGCUUGUUGGUGAGGUAAAGGCUCACCAAGGCUAUGACGGCUAGGCGAUCUGAGAGGAUGAUCGCCCACAUCGGGACUGAGACACUGCCCGGACUCC
This 251-nucleotide ribosomal RNA is filed under the name uncultured bacterium. RNAcentral describes it as "partial 16S ribosomal RNA". It matches the Rfam family "Bacterial small subunit ribosomal RNA", at positions 106 to 339 of the family's 1533-position model. The record is from RNAcentral.